RNAcentral lists this small RNA (822 nucleotides) under Pan troglodytes (chimpanzee). RNAcentral's name for it is "retained intron". The stretch from base 343 to 427 matches the Rfam family "Small nucleolar RNA SNORD79". The record is from RNAcentral. Lineage: Eukaryota; Metazoa; Chordata; Mammalia; Primates; Hominidae.
CUUUUCGAGGUAGGAGUCGAGUACUGUAAGGUAUGGUGCUGGGUGCAGAUGCAGUGUGGCUCUGGAUAGCACCUUAUGGACAGUUGUGUCCCCAAGGAAGGAUGAGAAUAGCUACUGAAGUCCUAAACAGCAAGCCUAACUCAAGCCAUUGGCACACAGGCAUUAGACAGAAAGCUGGAAGUUGAAAUGGUGGAGUCCAACUUGCCUGGACCAGCUUAAUGGUUCUGCUCCUGGUAACGUUUUUAUCCAUGGAUGACUUGCUUGGGUAAGGACAUGAAGACAGUUCCUGUCAUACCUUUUAAAGGUACAUGUUUUAUUGAUGUUAACGUUAAUUGAUUGAGCUACUGUUAGUGAUGAUUUUAAAAUUAAAGCAGAUGGGAAUCUCUCUGAGAAAGAAAAUGGAGAUUAAUCUUAAACUGAAACAGUAGUUGGGAAAUCUUUUAGAAAUCCACCUAUUACUACCUAUUGGUAAAGGAGAUAAAAUUUCUACAGGUAUGGAGAGUCGGCUUGACUACACUGUGUGGAGCAACUUUUAAAGAAGCAAAGGACUCAGAAUUCAUGAUUGAAGAAAUGCAGGCAGACCUGUUAUCCUAAACUAGGGUUUUUAACGACCACAACAAGCAAGCAUGCAGCUUACUGCUUGAAAGGGUCUUGCCUCACCCAAGCUGGAGUGCAGUGGCCUUUGAAGCUUACUACAGCCUCAAACUUCUGGGCUCAAGUGAUCCUCAGCCUCCCAGUGGUCUUUGUAGACUGCCUGAUGGAGUCUCAUGGCACAAGAAGAUUAAAACAAUGUCUCCAAUUUUAAUAAAUUUUUGCAAUCCA